RNAcentral lists this ribosomal RNA (100 nucleotides) under Paenibacillus aquistagni. Its description in RNAcentral is "partial 16S rRNA. Bacterial SSU". It matches the Rfam family "Bacterial small subunit ribosomal RNA", at positions 1 to 93 of the family's 1533-position model. Lineage: Bacteria; Bacillati; Bacillota; Bacilli; Caryophanales; Paenibacillaceae. The record is from RNAcentral.
CUUUUAUGGAGAGUUUGAUCCUGGCUCAGGACGAACGCUGGCGGCGUGCCUAAUACAUGCAAGUCGAGCGGAGUCUUACACUUUCUUCGGAAAGUGUUUG